This 465-nucleotide ribosomal RNA is filed under the name uncultured bacterium. Its description in RNAcentral is "partial 16S ribosomal RNA". It matches the Rfam family "Bacterial small subunit ribosomal RNA", at positions 338 to 795 of the family's 1533-position model. The record is from RNAcentral.
CCUACGGGUGGCUGCAGUGGGGAAUAUUGCGCAAUGGGCGAAAGUCUGACGCAGCGACGCCGCGUGAGGGAUGAAGGUUUUCGGAUCGUAAACCUCUGUCAGGAGGGAAGAAAGCGCAUGGCGCUAAUCAGCCAUGCGUUGACGGUACCUCCAACGGAAGCGCCGGCUAACUCCGUGCCAGCAGCCGCGGUAAUACGGAGGGCGCGAGCGUUAAUCGGAAUUACUGGGCGUAAAGCGCGCGUAGGCUGUAUGGCAAGUUGGGGGUGAAAUCCCAGGGCUCAACGGGGGAACUGCCGUUGAUACUGCGCGACUUGAGUCCGGGAGAGGAUGGUGGAAUUCCAGGUGUAGGAGUGAAAUCCGUAGAUAUCUGGAGGAACAUCAGUGGCGAAGGCGGCCAUCUGGAUCGGAAUUGACGCUGAGGCGCGAAAGCGUGGGGAGCAAACAGGAUUAGAUACCCUUGUAGUC